Molecule: ribosomal RNA, 253 nt
Filed under: uncultured bacterium
Lineage: Bacteria
Description: partial 16S ribosomal RNA
Rfam family: Bacterial small subunit ribosomal RNA
Source: RNAcentral
UACGGAGGGUGCAAGCGUUAAUCGGAAUUACUGGGCGUAAAGCGCGCGUAGGCGGAAUGUUAAGUCUCAUGUGAAAGCCCAGGGCUCAACCUUGGAACUGCAUGGGAUACUGGCAUUCUAGAAUACAGUAGAGGGAGGUGGAAUUUCAGGUGUAGCGGUGAAAUGCGCAGAUAUCCGGAGGAACACCAGUGGCGAAAGCGGCCUCCUGGACCACUCCUGACGCUCAGACGCGAAAGCUAGGGUAGCAAACGGG